Mustela erminea (ermine) is the source of this 320-nucleotide long non-coding RNA. RefSeq lists it as uncharacterized. Lineage: Eukaryota; Metazoa; Chordata; Mammalia; Carnivora; Mustelidae. The transcript has 3 exons. The record is from RefSeq and is a predicted model, not a curated record.
ACCACAUCGCGGGUUGGCGAUAGGCGUUGAGACGUUGGCGAGGAUGGUAGUGUAAUUUGGCAGAGCUCGGUGCGUUGUUGGAAGCACGGACUGCCUUGGCCUGGUGAACGGUUUCCUGUCCAACAGAGAAACCAUCUUAACCAUUCAACCUGUGAAUCAAGCACAGUGCCAAGCACAUAAUGGAUCCUUAAUAAGAUCACAAUAAAUGAACAUCGGAACUUGGGCCAUCUGCAAACAGGGCAUGAUCAAAGGUCAGGAGAGAGGGACUCCUCACUGCCCUCAGAUUACCUGGAGCACCCAGGAGCUGCAGAGAAUGUCCC